Molecule: ribosomal RNA, 253 nt
Filed under: uncultured bacterium
Lineage: Bacteria
Description: partial 16S ribosomal RNA
Rfam family: Bacterial small subunit ribosomal RNA
Source: RNAcentral
UACGUAGGCAGCAAGCGUUGUUCGGAGUUACUGGGCGUAAAGGGUGUGUAGGCGGUUGUUUAAGUUUGGUGUGAAAUCUCCCGGCUCAACUGGGAGGGUGCGCCGAAUACUGAAUGACUAGAGUGCGGGAGAGGGAAGUGGAAUUCCUGGUGUAGCGGUGAAAUGCGUAGAUAUCAGGAGGAACACCGGUGGUGUAGACGGCUUUCUGGACCGUAACUGACGCUGAGACACGAAAGCGUGGGUAGCAAACAGG